Molecule: ribosomal RNA, 429 nt
Filed under: Chloroflexota bacterium
Lineage: Bacteria; Bacillati; Chloroflexota
Description: Chloroflexi bacterium partial 16S ribosomal RNA
Rfam family: Bacterial small subunit ribosomal RNA
Source: RNAcentral
UGGGGAAUAUUGCACAAUGGGCGCAAGCCUGAUGCAGCCAUGCCGCGUGUAUGAAGAAGGCCUUCGGGUUGUAAAGUACUUUCAGUCGGGAGGAAGGUGGUAAGGUUAAUAACCUUAUCAAUUGACGUUACCGACAGAAGAAGCACCGGCUAACUCCGUGCCAGCAGCCGCGGUAAUACGGUGGGUGCAAGCGUUAAUCGGAAUUACUGGGCGUAAAGCGCACGCAGGCGGUUGAUUGAGUCAGAUGUGAAAUCCCCGGGCUUAACCCGGGAAUUGCAUCUGAUACUGGACAGCUAGAGUCUUGUAGAGGGGGGUAGAAUUCCAUGUGUAGCGGUGAAAUGCGUAGAGAUGUGGAGGAAUACCGGUGGCGAAGGCGGCCCCCUGGACAAAGACUGACGCUCAGGUGCGAAAGCGUGGGGAGCAAACAGG